AUGCCGAACUCAGAAGUGAAACGCCGUAGCGCCGAUGGUAGUGUGGGGUCUCCCCAUGCGAGAGUAGGGAACUGCCAGGCAU
Molecule: ribosomal RNA, 82 nt
Filed under: Escherichia coli O5:K4(L):H4 str. ATCC 23502
Lineage: Bacteria; Pseudomonadati; Pseudomonadota; Gammaproteobacteria; Enterobacterales; Enterobacteriaceae
Source: RNAcentral